This 135-nucleotide ribosomal RNA is filed under the name Mytilus galloprovincialis (Mediterranean mussel). Its description in RNAcentral is "5.8S ribosomal RNA". It matches the Rfam family "5.8S ribosomal RNA". From Rfam's summary of the family: 5.8S ribosomal RNA (5.8S rRNA) is a component of the large subunit of the eukaryotic ribosome. It is transcribed by RNA polymerase I as part of the 45S precursor that also contains 18S and 28S rRNA. The record is from Rfam by way of RNAcentral. Lineage: Eukaryota; Metazoa; Mollusca; Bivalvia; Mytilida; Mytilidae.
AUAUCUAGGCAGUGGAUCACUUUGCUGGUGCGUCGAUGAAGAGCGCAGCCAGCUGCGUGAAUUAAUGUGAAUUGACAUCUUGAACGCACAUUGCGGCUUUGGGUCACUCCCAGAGCCACGCCUGUCUGAGGGUUG